This 674-nucleotide ribosomal RNA is filed under the name uncultured bacterium. RNAcentral's name for it is "bacterial SSU rRNA". It matches the Rfam family "Bacterial small subunit ribosomal RNA", at positions 84 to 756 of the family's 1533-position model. The record is from RNAcentral.
UAUGAUGGCGACCGGCGCACGGGUGAGUAACGCGUAUCCAACCUACCCAUUACUAGGGAAUAACCCAGCGAAAGUUGGCCUAAUGCCCUAUGUAGUCGUUUGAUCGCCUGAGAUUUCGACGAAAGAUUUAUCGGUAUUGGAUGGGGAUGCGUCUGAUUAGCUUGUUGGCGGGGUAAAGGCCCACCAAGGCAACGAUCAGUAGGGGUUCUGAGAGGAAGGUCCCCCACAUUGGAACUGAGACACGGUCCAAACUCCUACGGGAGGCAGCAGUGAGGAAUAUUGGUCAAUGGGCGAGAGCCUGAACCAGCCAAGUAGCGUGCAGGAUGACGGCCCUAUGGGUUGUAAACUGCUUUUAUAUGGGAAUAAAGUGAGGGACGUGUCCCUUAUUGCAUGUACCAUACGAAUAAGGACCGGCUAAUUCCGUGCCAGCAGCCGCGGUAAUACGGAAGGUCCAGGCGUUAUCCGGAUUUAUUGGGUUUAAAGGGAGCGUAGGCUGUUUGUUAAGCGUGUUGUGAAAUGUAGGAGCUCAACUUUUAGAUUGCAGCGCGAACUGGCAGACUUGAGUGCGCACAACGUAGGCGGAAUUCAUGGUGUAGCGGUGAAAUGCUUAGAUAUCAUGACGAACUCCGAUUGCGAAGGCAGCUUACGGGAGCGCAACUGACGCUAAAGCUCGA